Molecule: ribosomal RNA, 319 nt
Filed under: uncultured eukaryote
Lineage: Eukaryota
Description: partial 18S ribosomal RNA
Rfam family: Eukaryotic small subunit ribosomal RNA
Source: RNAcentral
CCCUUAGAUGUUCUGGGCCGCACGCGCGCUACAAUGGUCUUCGCAAACGGAUGCAUUCUCGAAGGAGAAUGCCAAUCUUGGAAUCUAUGCCUUGGUCGGGACAGUUGCUUGCAAUUUUUCGACUCGAACCAGGAAUUCCUUGUAAUCGUGAUUCAUCACAUCACGAUGAAUACGUCCCUGCCCUUUGUACACACCGCCCGUCGCUCCUACCGAUCGAAGAGUUAGGUGAAUUGUUUUGAUCGAUAAGAUUUGACUAUGGUCAACUCUCGUUGUGAAAUUCUGUGAAUCUGACUGUUGAGAGGAAGGAAAAGGCGUAACA